This 499-nucleotide ribosomal RNA is filed under the name uncultured bacterium. RNAcentral's name for it is "partial 16S ribosomal RNA". It matches the Rfam family "Bacterial small subunit ribosomal RNA", at positions 30 to 523 of the family's 1533-position model. The record is from RNAcentral.
AUUGAACGCUGGCGGCAGGCUUAACACAUGCAAGUCGAGCGGGGGAAGGUAGCUUGCUACCGGACCUAGCGGCGGACGGGUGAGUAAUGCUUAGGAAUCUGCCUAUUAGUGGGGGACAACAUCUCGAAAGGGAUGCUAAUACCGCAUACGUCCUACGGGAGAAAGCAGGGGAUCUUCGGACCUUGCGCUAAUAGAUGAGCCUAAGUCGGAUUAGCUAGUUGGUGGGGUAAGGCCUACCAAGGCGACGAUCUGUAGCGGGUCUGAGAGGAUGAUCCGCCACACUGGGACUGAGACACGGCCCAGACUCCUACGGGAGGCAGCAGUGGGGAAUAUUGGACAAUGGGGGGAACCCUGAUCCAGCCAUGCCGCGUGUGUGAAGAAGGCCUAUGGUUGUAAAGCACUUUAAGUGAGGAGGUGGCUACUCUAGUUAAUACCUAGGGAUAGUGGACGUUACUCGCAGAAUAAGCACCGGCUAACUCUGUGCCAGCAGCCGCCGUAA